This 230-nucleotide ribosomal RNA is filed under the name uncultured Staphylococcus sp. Its description in RNAcentral is "partial 16S ribosomal RNA". It matches the Rfam family "Bacterial small subunit ribosomal RNA", at positions 110 to 334 of the family's 1533-position model. The record is from RNAcentral. Lineage: Bacteria; Bacillati; Bacillota; Bacilli; Caryophanales; Staphylococcaceae.
GUAACACGUGGAUAACCUACCUAUAAGACUGGGAUAACUUCGGGAAACCGGAGCUAAUACCAGAUAACAUGUUGAACCGCAUGGUUCAACAGUGAAAGACGGUCUUGCUGUCACUUAUAGAUGGAUCCGCGCCGCAUUAGCUAGUUGGUAAGGUAACGGCUUACCAAGGCAACGAUGCGUAGCCGACCUGAGAGGGUGAUCGGCCACACUGGAACUGAGGCACGGUCCAG